RNAcentral lists this ribosomal RNA (427 nucleotides) under Acrapex jansei. RNAcentral's name for it is "partial 16S large subunit ribosomal RNA". Lineage: Eukaryota; Metazoa; Arthropoda; Insecta; Lepidoptera; Noctuidae. The record is from RNAcentral.
UUAAAGGGCUGCAGUAUAUUGACUGUACAAAGGUAGCAUAAUCAUUAGUCAUUUAAUUGAUGACUUGUAUGAAGGAUUUGAUGAGAUAUAAACUGUCUCUUAUUUAAUUAUAAAAUUUAAUUUUUUUAUUAAAAAGUUAAAAUAUUUUAAAAAGACGAGAAGACCCUAUAGAGUUUAAUAAAUUAUUAAAUUGAGAUUAUAUGUAAAACAAAUUUAAAAUUAAAUUGUUUAUUUUGUUGGGGUGACAAAAAAAUACAUUAAACUUUUUUUUUUAAAAAAACAUUUAUAAGUGAUUAAAUGAUCCAAUAAUAUUGAUUAUGAGAAAAAAUUACCUUAGGGAUAACAGCGUAAUUUUUUUUUUUAGUUCAAAUAAGAAAAAGAGUUUGCGACCUCGAUGUUGGAUUAAGAUAAAAUUUAAAUGUAGAAG